GCUUCCCCUCAGGGCCCUUCGCCAUCGCUCGGCUUCCCCUCAGGGCCCUUUGCCAUCGCUCGGCUUCCCCUCAGGGCCCUUCGCCAUCGCUCGGCUUCCCCUCAGGGCCCUUCGCCAUCACUCGGCUUCCCCUCAGGGCCCUUCGCCAUCUUGGCGCGCAGGAGGAGCCACACAGCUGAGGAACAGCUCAUGUUAUUUAUGGGGGCACUCCGUGGGACACAGCAACAGCUGGCUGCCACUGCAGCUGAAAAUCUCCUAACUACAGUUCUCUGGAAUGUGGGGGCACAGCAGGAACUGGAGAAAUGGAAACCUGAGUGGGAGCAAACUGACAAAAAUCCCUGGGAUGGAGCAGGUUCAGGAAACCAGAGUGCUCACGAUUUUUAAAUAUCAAAUAACUCCGAAGAGACAGUUUUAGAUGCAGUUUUGUGUGUGGAUUCAUGGCCUGUGUCAAACAUACAGCAGCUGCAUCCUCUGUAUUCAGAUAUUGAUUGAUGGUUCUUCUUGAUAAAGAAGGCAGCAAGGACAAGACAAGUAGGACUUCUUGCAAGUAACAUAUUUGAAGAGGAUACACACGAAAGCACUUAAACAAAAGGCAGAGAAUUGUGCCGAGUAAAGGAACUUGAAAGACAAUAAACAUUCAAGUGCUGAUUGAUGAUGACUCUUAAAGCCUAACAUGCUCACAGGAGCAAAACCUGCAUCCCCAUGGAGCUGCUGUCACUGAAAUUGAGUCUUUAUGAAAAAGGAAGAGCAAACAGACAAGAAAGCUGAAAGAGGAAGAAUAGGAUUAAUGUGUACAGAGUAGAUUUGGGAGGAGCAGAGUGUUUCAGGCGCUUAAUUCUCGACCCCAAACAUUUUGCUUGUUCUAGGGCCUGACACAGCUCUUGCUCGUCCUAGCAGAACUUAGAUGUUGGAUUGGGUAGACUCUUGGAUCCGAUAUAUUGUGGCAGAUCCUACAUUUCUACAAGAUUAGACAAGAUUAUAGGAUAGAAAAUUAGCUUACUUAAGGAAUGAUACUUAAUACUUUAAGCAUCAGUUAGGAUAAACAUGCAUUUAAAAUCUUCUCCGAACUUUCUGAAAAUCUGGUCUGAAAAACUGCUUGAAAAUGUUCCAAAUUGGUAAAAGAAUUGUUGACUUUGUUCACACAAAUAGAAAUGAAUGUAGCCUAUUAGAAAGAAUUUAAAUGCUUGUGUCUCUGUUAGUUCUGGAACUGCAAAUCUUUGAUGUCUGGAUAAACCAUAGGAUAAUUGAUUGUGUACAUUGGUAUUCCGAAGUCCAUAGUUGUUGAAAUGAUUCACAGAAAGAAAUCAGUCAGUAUUAGAUUUGAAGUGACCAUGACCAUGAAUUCAAACAAUUUCUUGGUAUUGUCCUGUAAAUACUGAUGUUCCACAACUGAAAUGGGAAGAGCUUUUAAAUACUGCAUUUAGCACAGAUGUUUCCUGUUAUAACAGAUUAGUAAAAUUUCAGUAUUCAAUAGGCUUUUAACACCCACCCUCCAUCUGUGGUAUUCAUUUUCAGCAUUGUGGAAUAGGCCAAAAAAGCAGGCAUAUAAUUAAAAAGAAACCCCAUCAGGGUGUUUUCUCUA
Pipra filicauda (Wire-tailed manakin) is the source of this 1582-nucleotide long non-coding RNA. RefSeq lists it as uncharacterized. NCBI's taxonomy places the organism in Eukaryota, Metazoa, Chordata, Aves, Passeriformes, Pipridae. The record is from RefSeq and is a predicted model, not a curated record. The transcript has 5 exons.